Molecule: ribosomal RNA, 378 nt
Filed under: uncultured bacterium
Lineage: Bacteria
Description: bacterial SSU rRNA
Rfam family: Bacterial small subunit ribosomal RNA
Source: RNAcentral
UAUUGGACAAUGGGCGAAAGCCUGAUCCAGCAAUGCCGCGUGAGUGAUGAAGGCCUUCGGGUUGUAAAGCUCUUUUGGUGGGGAAAAUAAUGAUGGUACCCACAGAAUAAGCUCCGGCUAACUUCGUGCCAGCAGCCGCGGUAAUACGAAGGGAGCUAGCGUUGUUCGGAAUUACUGGGCGUAAAGAGUACGUAGGCUGUUUUUUAAGUUAGGUGUGAAAGCCCCGGGCUCAACCCGGGAAUUGCACUUAAAACUGAAAAGCUAGAGAUUGGGAGAGGAAAGUGGAAUUACUAGUGUAGAGGUGAAAUUCGUAGAUAUUAGUAAGAACACCAGUGGCGAAGGCGACUUUCUGGACCAAUACUGACGCUGAGUACGAAG